RNAcentral lists this unclassified non-coding RNA (224 nucleotides) under uncultured Gemmatimonadaceae bacterium. RNAcentral describes it as "contains 16S-23S intergenic spacer region". It matches the Rfam family "Bacterial small subunit ribosomal RNA", at positions 976 to 1198 of the family's 1533-position model. The record is from RNAcentral. Lineage: Bacteria; Pseudomonadati; Gemmatimonadota; Gemmatimonadia; Gemmatimonadales; Gemmatimonadaceae.
UGGGCUUGACAUCUUGGGGAAAGCCGUGAGAAACCACGGCCCCUCUUCGGAGUCCCAAGACAGGUGCUGCAUGGCUGUCGUCAGCUCGUGUCGUGAGAUGUUGGGUUAAGUCCCGCAACGAGCGCAACUCCCGCUCCCAGUUGCUAACAGGUCAAGCUGAGGACUCUGGGAGGACUGCCGGUGCCAAACCGGAGGAAGGUGGGGAUGACGUACCAGUAUCGGAA